This 1103-nucleotide ribosomal RNA is filed under the name Apiospora neosubglobosa. RNAcentral describes it as "Arthrinium neosubglobosa partial large subunit ribosomal RNA". It matches the Rfam family "Eukaryotic large subunit ribosomal RNA", at positions 71 to 1407 of the family's 3401-position model. The record is from RNAcentral. Lineage: Eukaryota; Fungi; Ascomycota; Sordariomycetes; Amphisphaeriales; Apiosporaceae.
GGGAUUCCCCUAGUAACGGCGAGUGAAGCGGGAACAGCUCAAAUUUGAAAUCUGGCCCUCGGGUCCGAGUUGUAAUUUGCAGAGGAUGCUUUUGGUGCGGUGCCUUCCGAGUUCCCUGGAACGGGACGCCUUAGAGGGUGAGAGCCCCGUACGGUUGGCCACCAAGCCUGUGUAAAGCUCCUUCGACGAGUCGAGUAGUUUGGGAAUGCUGCUCUAAGCGGGAGGUAUAUUUCUUCUAAAGCUAAAUACCGGCCAGAGACCGAUAGCGCACAAGUAGAGUGAUCGAAAGAUGAAAAGCACUUUGAAAAGAGGGUUAAACAGCACGUGAAAUUGUUGAAAGGGAAGGGUUUAUGACCAGACUUUUUCUAGGGGGAUCAUCCAGAGAUAUCACUGGUGCACUUCCCCUAGUUGAGGCCAGCAUCGGUUCUCCUAGGGGGAUAAAAGCGGUGGGAAUGUGACUCCCUCGGGAGUGUUAUAGCCCGCCGUAUAAUACCCGUAGGGGGACCGAGGUUCGCGCUCUGCAAGGAUGCUGGCGUAAUGGUUAUUAACCACCCGUCUUGAAACACGGACCAAGGAGUCGAACAUUUGUGCGAGUGUUUGGGUGUUAAACCCUCACGCGUAAUGAAAGUGAACGGAGGCGAGAGCCCUUACGGGUGCAUCGUCGACCGAUCCUGAUGUCUUCGGAUGGAUUUGAGUAAGAGCAUAACUGUUCGGACCCGAAAGAUGGUGAACUAUGCGUGGAUAGGGUGAAGCCAGAGGAAACUCUGGUGGAGGCUCGCAGCGGUUCUGACGUGCAAAUCGAUCGUCAAAUCUGCGCAUGGGGGCGAAAGACUAAUCGAACCAUUGACCAGCGGUCAAUAUAAUCACUAGGUGGUUGAGAGGGGGCCCGUGAGGGCCGUUUGCCAAUUCCUAGGCCCGUGUCCAGCUGGGGAGCUACCCUGUAGCAGCUGCGCAGUUACCCUGUAGCAGUUGUGCGGUUACCCUGUAGCUGGGCCGGCCGACACCGCUAAAUUGCGGGGACAUCCCUUUAGGGGCCACAGGCUACCGCUGGGCGCUGAAAAGCGUGCCAGCACCGAGGAUAGUGCCCUCGGGUGUGGUAAGAA